AGUGGAAUGAGUUUUUAUUAAAAAUAAUAUAGUUUUUUUCACCAAUGUAUAAAUUUUUGACCUUAAAAUUAAUUUUUGGUCUUAAAAAAUGGGUUGGAUAUGGGUCAGACCCGACCCACCAACCUGCUCCAACUAACUGGCUACCGGUUAGCUUGGUAUCAGUAUGUAUGAGGGUAGAGGCUAUCUGUGGGCUGACCCCAUUGAUUAUCCAUGAGAACCAGUCCAUUGACCAUCUCUCAAUCUUCAUAUUCUUCUCCUUUUUCAUCAAUUGGCAUCUUGAUUUUCCAUUGAUGAAAGCUAUCUUUUUUUCUUGAGACCAGUGAUAGCUUCGUGGAAUUAGCCCAUAGAACGUAAUUAGCCUCUCCUGUUAAUUUGUAAGCCACCAUUUGAGCCCCUGGAUGAUCAUCAGCAGUUAAGAAGAAAGGUGAUUUUCUAGAAUAUUUAGUGCUGUUGGAUUCUUUUCUUUUUUUUGUUUACUGAUCUCCUUUCUUUUCUUCUUGAUGAUCGGAAGUAAUUUUCUUCUUCAGAACUUGGAGUUGGCAAUGAUUCUUUUGAGAAUUGCUCUGCAUUUCUAGAGCUAUCAGAAUUCAAUUUUGCGGAAGUGGUGUCCAGGUUGACACUGAUACCAUGUUAAAUGAUGUAGCCGUCCGGAUCCUCUCUUAGCUAUACGCAUAAGGAAUCACCGGCAAAUUGGUCCGGCAGAAGCAGUAUAAGAAAAAGGGGACGAGAGUUAGAGCUACAAUGCUUAACUGUCAAGGAUGACAGUUUGUACGAGUGUGAUUAAUGUGAAAUCAAUUGAUCAGAAAUGUUAAUUACAAUCAGUAUGUAAUACAUCAUUUGCUAAUUAACACAAAUAGAUCAUAU
RNAcentral lists this long non-coding RNA (864 nucleotides) under Zostera marina. RNAcentral describes it as "long non-coding RNA (ZMAR_LNC002805)". Lineage: Eukaryota; Viridiplantae; Streptophyta; Magnoliopsida; Alismatales; Zosteraceae. The record is from RNAcentral.